GGCGAGAGUUGGCUGAGCUAUGUUGUUUAUUCUGACCGCGCACCAUAGGAAGACGUUCAUCAAACAUCUUCUCCAUGGCCUCCACUAGUGAGUUUUGUAGUUGGCGUAACUCAGCCCGCGAAACUGGUGUUUCUUUUUCUCCAUAUCGACCACCAUGAACGCUCAAAUUGGAUCCUGGCAUGUUAGCACUUAUGCAAGAUAUAGUGGAAUGGGUAAAUUUGUGGAAUCACACAAUCUCACCUCUUACUUACCAAUGCUCUUUCCUGUUCUCAAGGACAGUGAAUUGUGCUAGUGUAGCGGCUCAACAGAAGUGAUUCCGAGGUCGCAAGGAUUACGAGUCGAAUGUCCUGGUUUCAGUUUUAGGUGGAGCUAUAGGUGGCUAAACAAGGGAGGCCACGGUACUGAAAAUCAAGUAAUUGGAUGUGCUCAAAAGAUAUAAUGUUGCUGAUAUAUAAAUCACCAAGAUCUGAAUAUGUAAACUAAAUUUUUCAGUGAGCAAACCGCAAUACAACCCCUCUUCUUCUACUUUUCUGUUCUUUCUCUUUUCUUUUCUCUGAAUUUUUUUCUGAUUUUUUUGAACUCUUUUUUAUACUAACAGGGGUGCGGAUAACAAAUGACACAACACAAUAUAUGUAAAGAGGGUGACUAGCAACUUGAUGAACACAAAACACAAGAUAACAGUACCGUCAAAGGGCUCUAGGAUUUUUUUGUGGCUUUUCAGUGGACUGUAGGUGAUGAACAAAACAGUAACAAACAAUAGAUAAACUAAAGGUAGAUAUGUGGAUGAUUAUGAGAUCUACCGUGACAAUGAAAGCUUUGAUACCAGUUGAUAGGUUACCGAUAUGGAUCGGUACGAGGGUGGCCCGAUCUUCACGACAGUAGAUCAAAAGAACAAGGAUAACUUGCUGCGAACAGCAGGUAACUAGCUUUAUACCUGACAAAGGUUGGAUGCGACCAAGCGACGGGGAGAGAGGCACCGAAACCACGAAGACUUCGACUUGAUCUCCGAACGACCACAGAACCACAAUCCGGAACUAAUCCACACAAUACGGCGCAGCCGAACGGAAGCCGUAGAGCACGAAGUAGGGGAACCUAGAGGAUUCACUUCACAAGUCCAAGAAGAACAAGGAAGAACAAAGGUUGAGUAAGGCACUCAGCAGCACGGCUGCAAUAUCAUGUAGUUUAUCAAAAUGAUCAAAGGUUGCUGAUAGCUUAGAGGUAUGGGAUAUUUAUACUAGAAACAACCCUCCUAGAUAGGUAUGAAAACGAAAUAGAGUUUCUGAGGGAAGGCAAUGUGAAAGGACCCCUCGGGAUGGAUUCCCGAACUGGCUUCGCGUGACUGUUGGCCUCCAGAGCAGUUUCAAAUAAACUUACCAUAACUUUUUAUUGGGAAGUCCAAAUGAUGAACCGUUUCUUGGGUGUGAAACAAGACUCCAAGAGCUUUCCAGCAAUGUAUGCCAUGCACCAUGAAACGUUGG
This 1478-nucleotide long non-coding RNA is filed under the name Sorghum bicolor (sorghum). RNAcentral describes it as "long non-coding RNA (SBIC_LNC018784)". The record is from RNAcentral. Lineage: Eukaryota; Viridiplantae; Streptophyta; Magnoliopsida; Poales; Poaceae.